Molecule: unclassified non-coding RNA, 154 nt
Filed under: soil metagenome
Description: partial internal transcribed spacer 1
Source: RNAcentral
UAAUAAGGUGUUUUAUGGCACUUUUUAAAUCCAUAUCCACCUUGGUGUGGCAAUGUCGGGUCGAUCUUCUUUUUUUGAGGAUCGACCAAACAUCAACCUUUAUUUUUUUAACUCUUUGUACUGAAAAAUAUUAUGAAUAAACAAUUCAAAAUAC